AUGGCUCCGCCGGCCGCCACCAUCGCCGUCCUCGGCGACGACAUCCUGCAGGAGGUCUUCAUCCUCCUCCCAACCCCCGCCGACCUCCUCCGCGCCGCGCUCGCCUGCCAGCCUUUCCUCCGGGUCGCACGCAGCGCAGCUUUCCUCCGCCGCUUCCGCCGCCGCCACCCCUCAACCUGCCCGGUCGUCCUCGGAUGCCUCCUCUACCGCCCCAGCAAGCGCCGCGGGGCCAGCGCCCCUUACCUUCUGCCCGCCGACCUCCUCGGCGCCACGCGCCGCACUAUCGAGGGAGGUGACUUCGCCCUCUCCUUCCUCCCCCGCCGCGGCCGGCCGGAUGGCCCCGGCACCCCGUGGCGGAUCCUGGACUGCCGCAACGGCAGCCUCCUGUUACGUGACGGGGCUUCCGGAGAGCUCGCCGUCGCCGACCCGUUAACCCGGCGCUGGGUUUCACUCCCCGCGCUCCCCGGUGGGCGCCGCGUAGGGUACGCCCUCGUCCCCGACGACGGCGACUCUUCGGCCUUCAAGGCGGUAUGCAUUUCCCGACGCGCUGGAACCACAGAGCUGCGCGCCUUUCUCCUCUCCUCCGCUGAGCUCCGGUGGGCCGACGUGGGUACCCUCGCGCAGCAGCCCAAUCUCGCUGGAUCCCGCGCGAUGCAAGCGAAACGGUCGCUGUACUGGAAGCUAAUGGGUGGGGGGCACAUGGUGGCGCUCAACACCGCGACGAUGGAGCUCACCGUGCUGGCGCUCCCGCCUUUCUUGCGGGAGCAAACUUUCGACGUCAUUGAGAAGGGGGAGGACGGCGCCGGUAAGCUCUGUGUGCUCACAAUGCGUGGAUUAUGCAUUGAGGUUUGGAUCGGUGAGGACGACGGCGCCGGUGGGCUGACAUGGACGCUGUUGGAGAAGUCGGUGAGAUUCUACGGGGCGAUGGAAGCGAUGAUUCUUUCGGAUCCUUUGGACCAGACUCCACAGGGCGAUGUCAUCGGGGUGGCUGCUGGUGUGGUGUUCUUGCGCAGCAGCAGUUGUCUGCUCUCCAUUCAUCUUGAGACCAUGAAGAUGACGAGGCUGUCCCUGGACGUGAAUUGCCCGUCUCCGCUGAUAUAUCCUUACACGAUAGGGUGGCCGCCAGCGAUCUUGAACCCUACUGAACAAGGUGCUUGA
Molecule: ribosomal RNA, 1158 nt
Filed under: Triticum aestivum (bread wheat)
Lineage: Eukaryota; Viridiplantae; Streptophyta; Magnoliopsida; Poales; Poaceae
Description: partial small subunit ribosomal RNA
Source: RNAcentral